CAGUCGAACGAACUCUGGUAUUGAUUGGUGCUUGCAUCAUGAUUUACAUUUGAGUGAGUGGCGAACUGGUGAGUAACACGUGGGAAACCUGCCCAGAAGCGGGGGAUAACACCUGGAAACAGAUGCUAAUACCGCAUAACAACUUGGACCGCAUGGUCCGAGUUUGAAAGAUGGCUUCGGCUAUCACUUUUGGAUGGUCCCGCGGCGUAUUAGCUAGAUGGUGGGGUAACGGCUCACCAUGGCAAUGAUACGUAGCCGACCUGAGAGGGUAAUCGGCCACAUUGGGACUGAGACACGGCCCAAACUCCUACGGGAGGCAGCAGUAGGGAAUCUUCCACAAUGGACGAAAGUCUGAUGGAGCAACGCCGCGUGAGUGAAGAAGGGUUUCGGCUCGUAAAACUCUGUUGUUAAAGAAGAACAUAUCUGAGAGUAACUGUUCAGGUAUUGACGGUAUUUAACCAGAAAGCCACGGCUAACUACGUGCCAGCAGCCGCGGUAAUACGUAGGUGGCAAGCGUUGUCCGGAUUUAUUGGGCGUAAAGCGAGCGCAGGCGGUUUUUUAAGUCUGAUGUGAAAGCCUUCGGCUCAACCGAAGAAGUGCAUCGGAAACUGGGAAACUUGAGUGCAGAAGAGGACAGUGGAACUCCAUGUGUAGCGGUGAAAUGCGUAGAUAUAUGGAAGAACACCAGUGGCGAAGGCGGCUGUCUGGUCUGUAACUGACGCUGAGGCUCGAAAGUAUGGGUAGCAAACAGGAUUAGAUACCCUGGUAGUCCAUACCGUAAACGAUGAAUGCUAAGUGUUGGAGGGUUUCCGCCCUUCAGUGCUGCAGCUAACGCAUUAAGCAUUCCGCCUGGGGAGUACGGCCGCAAGGCUGAAACUCAAAGGAAUUGACGGGGGCCCGCACAAGCGGUGGAGCAUGUGGUUUAAUUCGAAGCUACGCGAAGAACCUUACCAGGUCUUGACAUACUAUGCAAAUCUAAGAGAUUAGACGUUCCCUUCGGGGACAUGGAUACAGGUGGUGCAUGGUUGUCGUCAGCUCGUGUCGUGAGAUGUUGGGUUAAGUCCCGCAACGAGCGCAACCCUUAUUAUCAGUUGCCAGCAUUAAGUUGGGCACUCUGGUGAGACUGCCGGUGACAAACCGGAGGAAGGUGGGGAUGACGUCAAAUCAUCAUGCCCCUUAUGACCUGGGCUACACACGUGCUACAAUGGAUGGUACAACGAGUUGCGAACUCGCGAGAGUAAGCUAAUCUCUUAAAGCCAUUCUCAGUUCGGAUUGUAGGCUGCAACUCGCCUACAUGAAGUCGGAAUCGCUAGUAAUCGCGGAUCAGCAUGCCGCGGUGAAUACGUUCCCGGGCCUUGUACACACCGCCCGUCACACCAUGAGAGUUUGUAACACCCAAAGUCGGUGGG
Molecule: ribosomal RNA, 1409 nt
Filed under: Lactiplantibacillus plantarum
Lineage: Bacteria; Bacillati; Bacillota; Bacilli; Lactobacillales; Lactobacillaceae
Description: bacterial SSU rRNA
Rfam family: Bacterial small subunit ribosomal RNA
Source: RNAcentral